Molecule: non-coding RNA, 150 nt
Organism: Caenorhabditis elegans
Lineage: Eukaryota; Metazoa; Nematoda; Chromadorea; Rhabditida; Rhabditidae
Source: Ensembl
AAGACUUAAAACACACUAGAAACAUCAAAAAAAAAGUUGAAAAUUUACUGUUUCUGCGAAACCAUUUGAGAAUAAAAAAUUAUUCUGUAUAUUAUUUAUUAUGUUGGCCAAUUUUUGUAAUAUCAAAUGAUAAAUCAACCUUAAAAAUUU